GGUUUGUUUGUUUGUUUGUUUUUACAUCUUCAUGUUUAGAUCUGUAUGCUGGCUUAUUGAAGUGACUGCUUUCCAAUUGUGUUUUCCUCCAUCCUAAUUCUUCUUUUUCUCUUCUUUCUCUCUCUCUUUUAAUUUAGAGAAGACCUUUCAGUAUUUCUUUUAGAAUGGGUUUAGUAUUGCUCUACUCUUUUAGCUUUUGUUUCUUGGAGAAAUUCUUUAUAUCCCCUUCUAUUUUAAAUUAUAUUCUUGCUGGAUUGAGUAUUCUAUAUUGCAAUAUUUUUCCUUUCAGCACUUUAAAUAUAUCUUGCCACUCCCUUCUGUCCUAAUGGCUUUAUGGGGGUUCCCUUAUAAUUAAUGCUUUGCUUUUCUCUUGCUGCCUUUAUAAUCCUCUCUUUAAAUUUUGCCAUUUUUAUUAUAAUACGUCUUGCUGUGGGCCUGUUUGGGUUCAGCUUGUUUGGGGUCUUCUAUGCUUACUGUUUCUUGAUAUCAGUAUCCUUCAGAUUUGGAAAGUUUUCAGCCAUAAUUUCUUCAAAUAUAUUUUCAAUCCCCCUUUAUUCUUCUCUUCCUUCUGGAAUUCCUAUUAUACAUAGAUUGGCCCACUUUAUAUUCUCUCAUAGGUCUCUUAUAUUGCUUUCAUGUUUUUUCAUUUGGUUUUCUGUCUGCUCUCCUGAUUGGGUGUUUUCCAUUAUUUUAUCUUCCACAUCACUAAUUCAUUCCUCUGCAUUAUUCAUUCUGCUCCUUAUUGCCUUAAGCUCAGUUUGAAUCUCUGCAAAUGAGUUCUCUAGUUUUUCUUGGCUCCUCCUUAUAUUUUCUAGUUCCUUUCUAAAGGAAUCUGCAUUACUGUUCAUAUCCUCUCUAAAUUCCUCCAGUAGUUUCAAUGCUUCCCUUUUGAAUUCAAUGUCUGUCAGACUGCAGAGGUCUGUUUCAUUGUUGUCUGCUUUAGGUGAAUUCUCCUGUUCCUUUAACUGUGAAUGGUUUCUGUGCUUGUUCAUCUUGCUUGUGUUUUCUUUUUCUGUGAGUUUUGGUAAGCUAAACUGUAGUCUUAUAAGUCUAUUUCUAUGUAAGAAUAACCCUUUGUAUUUUGGGGGGAGUUACUAUUUAUUUUUGGUGUUGGAGUUUGAAUAUUCACUAUCUCUUUAUUUGGUGUGAGAUGGCUCUUAUUCCCAGGAUGCUUAGUGUGUUUUCAGGGAGGAGGCAAUGGGUAGGGCCAGGAGUCUGUGCCUGGUCUUUGGGCUCUCAACAGCAGCAAGGACCUUCAGGAAUGUGGCACUGGAUACUCCUAGUUUCAGGGCCCUGGGAGGUGGUAAUAAGCUCAAGGCAGAUCUUCAAGCUGACCAGAGCAUUUAGCAGUAGCAGCAACAGGGUGCAUGAGUUCCCAGGGGAGUGAGAGCAGCAACAGUUCGUGUUUGAUUGACAUGCCCUCCUCUGAAGUGACUGGAAUUGCAUUGGUGCCUUUUUAGGAACCCCUAUUGGGAGCAGGCCAUGACCAUCUCUAGAGUCAGUGCUAACUGCUGUGUUUUGCCCCCGCCACCUUUAAAUCAUGCAUGAAGCAACCUGUCUCACUUAGCCCACAUAUGAGGUGUUGUACAGGGUGCUCCUGGUUGCGGGAUCCUUGGAAAUGAUAGAGAUCAGGUGUGUGGGUACUACCCAGAAUGUUUGGCAGCAACAGCAGCAGGGUGGGUGUUUUCCCUGGGGGUACAAGAGAAUCAACAAGUGGUGUUUGGUCACAAUGCCCUCCUCAGUGGUGCCCUUUAGGUGAAUAGGGCUGCAAGUGAUUCUUGUUCAGUCAUCUCCAAUGGCAGUGAGCCAAACCCAUCUCUGGAAUCAGGGAUAACUGGGGCGGUUUGCCCCUGCCACCUGCAGACCACACAAGAAGCACCCUGUCCCACGUAGCCUACACAGGAGGUGCUACACCAGCUGCUCCUGGUUGUAGGCUCUUGGGAAGGGACAGUGACCAAGUGUCUGGCCACCGCCCAGGGCAUUUGGCAGUGGCACCUGCAGGGUGGGUGUGCUCCCAGGAGAGUGAGAGCAACAGCAUAUGGUGCUUGGUUGCAGUGCCUUCUUUUUUUCUUUUUUUGGCAACCCCUGAGGUGACUGGGGUCACAGGUGGAGCCCACUCACAGGCCCCCAGUGGCAGCAAGCCACGCCUCCCUCUGGUCUCUGAGAUGACUACCUCAGUCUGUCCCUGCCACCUGUAGGUUGUGCAAGAGGCACCAUGUCACACUUAGCCCCCUUAAGCUCUUAGGCCACACAAUAUGUGCAUGGCCACAGGUAGCCUGGACAAGAAGAGCAUAAUUUCCCCUAAAUGAGCAUGAUGCUUCUCACUGACUGUAGCCUCUGCAGAGUUGCCCCACCCUCUAAGCCGGUGGACAUGCUCUUGCUCCGGUGCAGGGAGUUUCCUUUGGCAGCCUGCACCUCCUCCUCUUCCAUCCCCAACAAUUGUGUCUUGCCUCUCCUGUGGGUCCAGAACUUCUCCCAGGUUCCCUCUGAUGUGAUGUUCCCCUUCUUAGCCUGUGAUGCACUGUUACUUAGCCUCUCAUGCCAUCCCCAGUUCUCUCGCCGGGACUGACCUCCGGAUCCUGAGUCUCAAUGCCCAGCCCCCACCCGAGCGUCUGGGGCUGUGGUGUCUGGGCCAGUGGUUCAGUGGAUCUGUGUGGCUCUCACUGUUUUGCUGUUCUGAGUCCAUCUGCUGCAUUUUUCUCAGGCCUCUUUGGGGUCCCGCUGACUCAGCUGAUCUUUCAUCAGUUUGGUGGCUUCCCACCAGGUGGGUUCCUUUUCUCCUUCACCGCUCCGUCUAGGGAAUGCUAGUCCCGUCCUGAUUCCUUUUAUCUCUCUUUUUUUCUUUUGUUCUACCCAGUUUUGUCAAGAGUUUCUUGCCCUUUUUGGAGGUUUAAAUUCUUAUGCCAGCCUUCAGUUGACAUUCUGUGGGAAUCAUUUUACAUGUAGAUGUGUUUUUUUGAUGUGUUUGUUGGAGAAGGUGUGCAUGAGCUCUUACUCCUCUGCCAUCUUGCUCCGUGCUCUCUAUUAAAAUUUUCAAGUAUGUAAUGCAGUAUUAUUAACUUGUUGUUGAACUUUUCCUGUAUUCCUAGAGAAAACAAUUUAGAAAUAAUGAAUUAUUUUUUAAUACAUUGUUGUGUUUAAUUUGCUAAUAUGAUAUUCAGAUUUGUUAUCUCUCUAUGGCCUGAAAAUUUUCUUUCUUGCACUAUCCUUUUUUGGUUGUGUUACCAUGGUUUUACUAUCUUCAUAAAAAAUUCUGAUUUCUCUUUUUUACCGAAAAUUUUGUUUAAGUAUGGAAUUAUCUGGUCAUUGAAUAUUUAUCAGAAUUUGUCUAUGUCACCAUUUGGUCAUUCGUGUUUGUAGUUCUCAUGAACUUAGCUUUGGUAAUUGGAUUUCUUUCCCCAUUUUACCUGCAUUUCAAAUUUAUUGCCAAAAAGUUCUUCGGAAUAUUGUUUUGUAUUUUAGAUCUCUGCUUUAUAUGUAUUGUUCUUUUUUUCUCUCCUAAUGUUGGUUUAUUUGCAUCGUUUCCUUUCCCCCUUCUUUAAAGAGUUUGUUUAAUGUUAGUGUUUUCACAGAACAAAUUUUGUCUUUAUUGAUUUUUCACUAUUGUACCUUUAUUUUCUAUUUUAUCAACUUCUCCUAUUUUAAAAAAAUCAUUUCCUUUCUUCAGCUUUCUUUGUUUUCCUUAUGUGGAUAUUUUAUUAAAUUGUCCUUGAAUGUUUAUUUCAAAGAGAAAACAAUUCUAAGUUGUCAAUUUUUUUCUCUCUCAGUACAUUGUAGACAUCACUUUACAGUCUUGUGUCUUCCUAAUUGUUUACUGAUUUGUUACUGAUUUUUCAGAAGUCAGCUGUCAAUUUAAGCAUUAUUUCAUUAGGAAAUCUGAGUAGAUAUAUAUCAGAUCUUUUCACAUUAACCUUCAUGAUUAUUAAUGUUUUAACAUGGCUUUGUCCCUAUGAUUGUAUUCUAAGUGAUUUCUUUAGCAGUCUUUUUUCAUUCGCAAUUUUUCUCUUUGGCUUUGUUAAACCUAGUGAUUAUAUCAACUGUUGAGUUUUUAGCUCUAGUAAUUACAUAUUUUUUAAUUCCUCAAGUUCUAUCUGUUUUUUUCUCAUCUUGUUUUUUAUUCCAUUUAUUUUCUUAAUAACUUUAUAUAAACUUUUUAUAUUCUGAAUAUGAAAAUUUCAGUAUCUGUAAUUAUUAUAUCUAGUUUCUUUUUUCUGCUGAUUCUCACUUAUUGUGUGUUGUUUCUUCAUUUGCUUGGUGAUUUAUUUGUAUUGUGACUUCAUGUUCUUCAUAAUUUAUUUAAUUUUUAAAAAUCAUAACUAUUUUAUUGAGAUAAUAUAUGUUUAAUGUUCUUCAUAAUUUUAUUUGGAGUAUAAUUGAAGCUUCCAUUAAAGUGUGUUCUUCCGGACAUGUACUUUGUUUUUGCCAUGUUCCUGGGCACUGCACUUUUUCACACUGACAUUUUGGCUUGGAAUUUUCAAUCUAUACUUAUAACGUGAAUUCAACAUCCAAAGACGUAUAAGAAAAAGCUCAUAAUUAGGAAAUCUGAUGGGGAAAAUGAAUGUAGCUCGAUUGAAGAUAUAGAGGAAUCUCUGCUCAGAUCUUACUUCCUGCCCGAGUUCCAGAUAUAUCCUUAUUCAUGUAAUCUCUUCUACCCUAAGCUUUAGGUCACAAAGGAUGAGGUGAUACUGAAAGUAAAAACCCAUUUUUCUCCCUUAUUUUGGAGAAUGUAAACCUUUUUGUUUCUAGCUCAUGACAGCUGUUUCUUUUCCUGCAAGCCUUCUAUGUACACACACAAACACACACACAC
Molecule: long non-coding RNA, 4807 nt
Filed under: Sus scrofa (pig)
Lineage: Eukaryota; Metazoa; Chordata; Mammalia; Artiodactyla; Suidae
Description: lncRNA (ENSSSCG00000057271.1)
Source: RNAcentral